This 253-nucleotide ribosomal RNA is filed under the name uncultured bacterium. RNAcentral's name for it is "partial 16S ribosomal RNA". It matches the Rfam family "Bacterial small subunit ribosomal RNA", at positions 524 to 776 of the family's 1533-position model. The record is from RNAcentral.
UACGAAGGGAGCGAGCGUUGUUCGGAAUCACUGGGCUUAAAGCGUGCGUAGGCGGAUAAGAAAGUCAGGAGUGAAAUCCCCGAGCUCAACUUGGGAACUGCUUCUGAAACUUCUUAUCUAGAAUCCGGUAGGGGUUGAUGGAAUAUCCAGUGUAGAGGUGAAAUUCGCAGAUAUUGGAUGGAACACCAGUGGCGAAGGCGAUCAGCUGGGCCGGAAUUGACGCUGAGGUACGAAAGCGUGGGGAGCAAACAGG